RNAcentral lists this ribosomal RNA (683 nucleotides) under Burkholderia cenocepacia. Its description in RNAcentral is "bacterial LSU rRNA". It matches the Rfam family "Bacterial large subunit ribosomal RNA", at positions 2254 to 2925 of the family's 2925-position model. The record is from RNAcentral. Lineage: Bacteria; Pseudomonadati; Pseudomonadota; Betaproteobacteria; Burkholderiales; Burkholderiaceae.
GUGCAUGGUAGGCAGUUUGACUGGGGCGGUCUCCUCCCAAAGCGUAACGGAGGAGUACGAAGGUACGCUAGGUACGGUCGGAAAUCGUGCUGAUAGUGCAAUGGCAUAAGCGUGCUUAACUGCGAGACCGACAAGUCGAGCAGGUGCGAAAGCAGGUCAUAGUGAUCCGGUGGUUCUGUAUGGAAGGGCCAUCGCUCAACGGAUAAAAGGUACUCUGGGGAUAACAGGCUGAUACCGCCCAAGAGUUCAUAUCGACGGCGGUGUUUGGCACCUCGAUGUCGGCUCAUCUCAUCCUGGGGCUGUAGCCGGUCCCAAGGGUAUGGCUGUUCGCCAUUUAAAGAGGUACGUGAGCUGGGUUUAAAACGUCGUGAGACAGUUUGGUCCCUAUCUGCCGUGGGCGUUGGAUAUUUGAAGGGGGCUGCUCCUAGUACGAGAGGACCGGAGUGGACGAACCUCUGGUGUACCGGUUGUCACGCCAGUGGCAUCGCCGGGUAGCUAUGUUCGGAAGAGAUAACCGCUGAAAGCAUCUAAGCGGGAAACUCGCCUUAAGAUGAGAUAUCCCUGGGGACUAGAUCCCCUUGAAGGGUCGUUCGAGACCAGGACGUUGAUAGGUCGGGUGUGUAAGCGCAGUAAUGCGUUCAGCUAACCGAUACUAAUUGCCCGUAAGGCUUGAUCCUAUAACA